RNAcentral lists this ribosomal RNA (373 nucleotides) under uncultured organism. RNAcentral's name for it is "partial 16S ribosomal RNA". It matches the Rfam family "Bacterial small subunit ribosomal RNA", at positions 527 to 896 of the family's 1533-position model. The record is from RNAcentral.
GUAGGUGGCAAGCGUUGUCCGGAAUUAUUGGGCGUAAAGCGCGCGCAGGUGGGUUCUUUAAGUCUGAUGUGAAAGCCCCCGGGCUCAACCGGGGAGGGUCAUUGGAAACUGGGGAACUUGAGUGCAGGAGAGGAAAGUGGAAUUCCACGUGUGGCGGUGAAAUGCGUAGAUAUGUGGAGGAACACCAGUGGCGAAGGCGACUUUCUGGCCUGUAACUGACACUGAGGCGCGAAAGCGUGGGGAGCAAACAGGAUUAGAUACCCUGGUAGUCCACGCCGUAAACGAUGAGUGCUAAGUGUUGGGGGGUUUCCGCCCCUCAGUGCUGCAGCUAACGCAUUAAGCACUCCGCCUGGGGAGUACGGUCGCAAGACUG